GCCUGGUUGGGCAAGUAGCGGGAGGCUUGCUGCCUCCAUCUUGAAUCCUCCAUAUUAGUUUCUAAUUUAAAUUUAGCGAGUUAUGGCUGACAGAAGUUGAAAUAAAAAGUUUCGCUCAGGAGUUGGAGCAGAACACUUGCCGUUUUCGGAUCAUUGUGGAUAUACCGUGUGUUUUGGACCAAAACGCUUUAUUUCAUUACAAUACAGAGGAUCGUAAGGGACAAAAUGAGACCACACACGGCGUGAAUGUGCGACGUUUGGAGCUCAGAAGUCAAAAAAUAAAGUUGGGUUUCCACCGCUGCUUCUUCCUGACAUGGUGACAGGACCUGAUGAGCCGCCUCGUGGGAACCUCUUCCCAGCUCAGGACUUCAGUUAAAGCAACGUAGAUUCAUAGACCGUGAUGUCAUGACAUCAUGACAUGAACAGAAGCUCUGGAGACCUGGACGUUAUGCUGGGAAGGAACCACUGGACACCGACCCUUCAGCCAAGAAGUCAAAUGUGGAUUUGUCGGUUCAGUAUCAGUUUCUGCUGGCAUCACCCAGCUCCUUCAGCUGCUGUGAUGCAGACAGUGUGUGUGGCUGGAGGCGUCAUCAGACGGGAGACGGGACGUUUGCUGCGCUGGACGCCAUGCGACGCCUCCCUGCAAACGCGUCCGUGGGACCUGCUGCUGCUCAGGACCCACUGGACCACAGCUAAUGUUAGCUGUCUGCUCUUUAACCAUCACGCGUGCAGUGUAUUCUGCAGGUUAGUGUCAUCAUCAUCAUCCUUAAUGCUCCCCAUCACUUAUCAGGCAUCCACAAAUACAGCCCAGCAGGUCCAGGGACAUGAGCCGUCAGACUGGAGCGGGUGAGUCCAGUAAACACGUCGAACGCUGGCGGGACACAGCUCCACGUCCAAGCUCGAUUCUGAGUCAUAGCUUUAAAAAAUAAAUAACAAUAAACGAAAAAUUCAAACAAUUUACACUUCUGAUUAUGAUGUGUCCAGCAGGAUUUCCUCUCUCCUCCUACUUCUUGUGUGCACAUGCUCCAAUAACAGAAGACUGCAGGGAUCCACGGUGUGAUCCCUGUUUUACCCCCGUAAGCCUUGGUGUCAUCCAUGGUCGUAUCAAACAAGCUCCUCAGAUUAAUAACAACUGUCACUGGGACCAGAUCUUGGGAUUUAUGGGACGGAGCUGGAGCAGAGAUCUCGCCUGUGGGCAGCAGUGCACUGGGAGCGCUGCCAUUACUUUGAAGUCGAUCUUGCACAUAGAUUAGCCGUGGACAAAGAGCAGCGAGCGGCAGCAACACGUCCCACCGCUGCCUCAGUUGUGACAGGCAGAUUUCUACUGUGAUUAAUCACUGCCUGUUAGCUGCCUGAGUGGCCUGACAGACAGGCUCCCUGUGCUGCUCUGGCUAGAUUCUAUCUGAGCCACGCGCUCCCUCAGAGACGCUGAGUCUCAUGUUCCAGAUUAAAUAUGUUUUAGAACGACGUCUAAGACACAAAUAAAAAUAACCCAAGUUGAAGAGCGAGACAGAUGUUUAGUCACAGCAGCCUCUGCACAGGGAUCCUCACGGUGGCCAUGAACUGUUCCAGCUCCACUUCCAUCCAUUCAGAGCAAAACCCUGAAACAUUUGGUGAAGUCGGGUUCCAGCUAUGAGGGUUUAGCUUCCAGAGCCGCGUGUGUGAGCCAAGUCAUGGCAGGAAUCUGAAACGCCUCGUGUCGUCUGGCAGAGCAACGGCAACAAAUGACAGAAAUAUACUGUGUCCCAGCUCUGACUGGAUGCUCCCAGCACGUUUCACUCCAACGGGCAAAUAAAAGUAUUUUUGUGCAAAUGUAAUUUCAGGGGAUUCUACGAUCGCCAUGAAACCUUCCAGUAAACUAUAAACAGCAGAUGGAUGAAGGAAGAUUUGACUUGCCAGCAAAGCUAAACCACUAUGAGCAUCGACGUCUUCGCUUUGAGAAGCUACUGCAUCGAAGUCUUUUCAAAGAGUAAAAUAGCAGAUGUGUGAUGAUUGUCCUGCCAUUAGUCGGGCAAAGCCACCGCUAAAUUAUUCCUUAGAAAAUCAAGCUAAAUUAUUAAGUGCAUACAUAAUAUAUUGGAAAACAUCCAGUCUUCAGCAGUGAGUGUGGUCAGACAGGAGCAUCCAUCUCAUCAGAAUGAAUAACCUGACUAAACAGCAUGCAACAUUUAACAAAAGCCCAGCUUCCAUAUCAGCGCAGCACGGAAGAGUGUCCGCUGCUCGGAUCAAUAAUCACAUCCACCCAAAUGGAAAAUUCACCCAUGUCAUAUUCAGACAGGGCUUCAGACGGCCUCGAAUAACUUGUCAUUUCAAUUUAAUCUCAUUCUGAAAAUUCAAAGACAAUUAUUCUCAUGGUGAACGGGGAGCAUGCAUUUUGCAUAGCACACAGACAUCAGAUGUUCGAGUCAACCAAACGGCAAAGGAAGGAACACAACACAACUAUGUCUAUACACGUCUGUUGUGUGGGAGAAGGAAGCCUCUCGCUUCCACUAAAACAAGUCAAAAGGUGUAUUUAUAGUCAGGCCUCAAUGAGUUUAGCGUCAAUUUAAAACCAGUUUAAAAAUCUAGAAAUAGAAAGAAAUCUGCUUUUAAAGCUGAGAUACAUGUUUUUUUAUUUUGGCAAAAAAAAAGUUGCAACUUGACACUGUAGUGGGGAAAAAAUUACUAGCAGUAAUAGGAAAAACUGCACGGAACCUAAAAGCCAACCGGUCUUACAGCCUGAACAACGCUCAAGCAUUAGCUCGCGAGCGCCCCUUCGCCAGCAGGUGGCCGGUGGUAUUGCACCCGCUGCCACCAGCUGUCCUGGUUACAUUGGUACUAAAAUGACAUAACACCUAUUUAAGUAUUUAAGCCCAAAAACAAUUGGGCUGAGUUAAUUUUACUUAUAUUUAGGUUUUCCUUCCCCUCUUCAAAUGUUAAUCCUAAAAGAUCAUCUGUACCGUAUUGCUAUGUUAUCUGUAAAUCUAUGUUUAAAAACAUUCAUAAUUGAAAUACAGAUACAUAUAAGAAGAACAUAAUUUAGAUGUUAAUGCAUAGCUUUUUGUACUUGUGGUUCAGGAGGCAAAUUUUUCAAGUUCAUGCGUUUUCACAAAAACAUGAUUUUUUCAUAUCCAGAGUGCUGUAGGUUUAAACAGCACUGACACGAUGCCAUGUUGGAGAUGCACAGUUUGAGGAUAACUUUAUUUCCAGCAGCUGUAGCAGAUUUACUACAGACAAACUGUGUUUCACCACCUCUCCAUCAUCCUGCACGUUUCCUAGUUGUGUUUAUGAGUAAUGAUAGUGGAAAGAACCUUGAUGCAUGCUGUCAAAGUGACACCCAGUAAAUCAUAGUUGACCUUUAUGUUUACCUGUGUUUUAGCUGAAGCUUUUAGUGAAGUAAUAUAGCCCACGGAGUGGAGGCUUGAUUGAUGCCACUGAAACAGUCGGUACUGACACAAAAAGCUGCCGUGGAACACGACGCCGGAGGCUCCUGGAAGCUGUCCAAGCAACCGGCCCAUUCAUUUAAGGAAAAGAAAGAAUUAAUUGCUCUUCAUCUUCCCUCAGCUUUGUUUGUUUUAUGGCUUAAUUCUUUACCUUUACGGCCUUGUGUGUUUUUCACACAGCCAUUAGUAGUUUGCUUCGCUGCUACGGACGUGAAAGCGCACGUCUUCGUGUUCUUCUGAGAGACAGAUGCAUUUAAAUGAUUCUAUCAGUAAUACAAGCAGCCGUCCUGGUCAAGGUGAUGGGUUUACUCAGCUGAUCAAUUAAUAGUCCAACACUGACUUUAUUUACCGUAUUCACAGACCCGCGGAACAAACACAUGUCCCCUGUACACGGAUGUGUUUGUGUCCGUUCCCCUUCAUUACCCCAAAAGCUGCUGCAGGGAGGAAUCAUUUCAUGCGUCCCAACUCGGAGGAGGACAUUCAAAGAAAGAUGCCUCCAAGGGAAAUGUUUGAAAUCCACUAAAACACACUACGAUACAUUAGCCGAUAGCCCUCAGCACACAGGCCGCUCCGUGCGGUGGGCUGCUACUGCCCCCUGUUGGUCCCAGCUGGGAUCCACACUCUUCCUGCAAAGCUCACACGAAAGCUUCAUCAACAGCAGGACAUCUGAAGAACGCUGCAGGCCGGCCACCGAACGCCAGCGCUAUUAAGUGAUUAACCAAGGGAGCGUCUCAGAGGGGUUUCAGAGGGGUUGCCAGGUCCUGUCACACACUCACACCAGCGGCUCUGCGGGACUGUGUGUCAUCACACGACUUGCUCUUUGAAGUCAGCCCUCUGUCGGUAACUGUUUGAUUCACUGGGCCUUUCUCCAGCUCCUAUUGAUUCAUUAAUCAUUUCACCAAUGAACUAACAGAUACUGACCUGCUCACAGUCCCUGAGCUGCUCCAGCCCUUCAACCCCCAAACCAGUUGAAUUGAUCAUUUAAUGGAACAUCAAGGCCACACAGAUUAUAUGUCAGCAUUUUGUUCUGCAUGCCGCCCAUAUGCACAAAGGUCAAUAUACUGACCUUCCCUGAGAAGUGUGUACACAACAACCAAUGGGAAUGAAUGCCUCCGUCACCACGUUUAACACCUAUUUAGACUGGAUGCUGAUGAGCGGCGCGCGGCUGCCAAGGCCCCUGCCCCUGCACUGAACUCUGUGCCUGGUUAAUGAAACAAGUGUUAUGCUUCAGUCUCGUGUGCACACACACACAUCAAUGAUAAACACAUGGGGCUUCAGAGGCGGAAUUACACAAAAAUCUAGAGGGAAUUAAACAAAUGAGACCGAAGAAAUGGUUCAGUCUUUUUAAAUGAUGUGAGUCGAGUUAAUUAGAGUCUGGUGUUGAAGUCAGUGGAACCUCAGACCUCCUAUUUGAGAAGUGCAUCAUGGCCUCAAGGAGGACUGCUCAAAAAAACAAAAAGAUGCAGUGGAUCAUAGCAAUAAAUGGAUACGGACACCUGCACAUUCUUCUCAGUGUCGUAAUAUAUGUAAUAAACGAGCAGCUACAAGAUCAAAGGUGAACUGUAUGUACAGACUGUGUAGGACUGGAAGGCUGUCAGGUGUCAGCUGGGAUGGAUUCCAGCAGGCUUGCAACCUUCACCAGCAUACGAGGGGCGGUUCUAUGUAAAUAUAGUAUUUUACAUGUGUCUAAAACAGCUGCAUCACUAUGAUUAACAUAAGCAGGAAGCAUUAAAAGCACUGACUGGUUACAAAAGUAUGUGGAUUAAAUGAGAAGCUGGAUUCAAGAGAAAUGAUUUAGCUCACCUUCACUAUCCUGCCAGGUUUGUGGCACUAAGUCAUUUGCAGAGUGAGGAUGUUUGUGACACUUGACGCCCUAACACAGAUGGUGACGUGACAGAUCUGUGGUCGUAGCGACUCUUUGCAUCAGUGUUUUGGACUUUACUGCUAAACAAACUGCAACAAAACCACAAUGCCCCAAACAUGAGUGCACCAGCAUAUAUCAGUAUAUACUGUAUGGCUCAUGCUGCGCUCUAAACGUGACACCAGCGUUCAAAGUAAAUCCUUCAAUUCCACAGUGUCCUAAAAAACCAAAUGGAAACAGGCCAGCUGGAGCUUACUGUAGAGCACAAUGGCUGCUGGGAGGCUUAGAGGUUGCAGCAUUGUCCCCUGAUUACUGCAGGCAUGAACUCAACUGGAUGCACAAGAAAAGAGAAGGGGGGCUUGGAAACAACACAACAAUGCAUCCCCACCCCGGCCGCGGCGCGCCGGCCAGCAUCGCAGCGCGUUGCCUUUCUCAAUGGAUGUCAGUCACUGCGCCGCUAAUGGCAGAUGACAUGGAACAUAAUGCACCAACUAGGUCCCGGGCCAGCACGAGUAAUGGCUCAUAAAUUCAGCAGCCCUGGAGCAGGAACCUGUCAAAACUCAGCAGUGCAUUGUGGGUUAAUGUUCUUCAUACACCUCCCCUCACCCGCAGUCACUGCAGUGGGCCAAUCAGCGUGGGCGGCUGUGGCCCCUCCCCCCCCAUCUCACUGCGUCGCCACUCUCCAUGCAGCCAGCCAUACUAAAAACCAUUUUCUUUUUAAUUAAUCACGCCAAUAGUUUGGAGCAGCUUUGGGCUCCUAGAGUUCAUUCGUGAUGCUUAAGCUCUAAUCGAUGCUGCUGGGUGAGAGCUCAGGGAAUGUCAAUAUUUUCCAAAGUGCAAAAAAAAAAAAAAAGUCCGGGAGGCCCAGGUUGUCCCAAAUAAAGUGUCCCGAGGAUGCAGGCGGCCCAAAAAGCCCCCGACUCCAGCCGGUCUCUGUGGCCGGCACUCUUUUGUUCCUGCCAGCUGGGUUUGGACCAGGACGAGGUCCGUGACCUACAGAGCAGCGGUCCCAAAACACAAGGAUCAUGACACAAUCACCACUUUUUAAUCAAUAUUCAACUAUGUAUAUAAGUAUGAAAAUAGUUUCAUGCCACUAUUAUUUAAUGGUAUUACAUGAUUCCAGGCAUCCAAAGAUCCAAACCUUGACACGUUUCCACACCUAAAUCCAUCUUAACGUAGUGUUUGUGAAAGUAGGAAUGUGUUUAGAAACUCAUGUUGAGCACCAGCUGCUGAUGUUGCGUUUGCAGCAGUUCAGGGUUGGUAAAACGUCGCAUCCCAGAUGUCUGCUAACGCUUCAGAGCCUAAGACGGCGUCCACGUGUAACAAGCUUCACCUUCCUGUGAGGCCGAUGGGCCGAUGUGACGCUACGGUGGCUGCGGUGGAGCCGUUAAUGUUCCUGCACAUCAGUGUGGCAGCAGAGCAGCCGCACAUCGAUUAAAGGAAUCAAGUCACGGCUGCGAUGACGGAGAUUUGUCUUAUUGACUUCACUAUAGCAACAGCUGGGAAAACCCUCGCUGUAUGAGGAGCUCAGUGGUGUUCGGAUCUGACCAGUUCAUUUUCAUGUGCUUCUUCUACGAAUGUUGAGUUUGAUCAGGACUGAGCGCUCCUUGGGGAAAUGUUUGUUUCACUUCUUGUUAUAUGCAUGAAAAUAAAAUUGAAUAUUACUAUUUUUAUUUUAAAUUUGUUAUAUUUGUUUAUUAUAUAUAUAUAUUUAAAAUUAAUGUUUUAAAAUGUUACUCAAGAUUUUUCUGCUGCUGGUUUGACUCCUGAAUAAAUGCAGAGGAACUGUGCAUCACAGGAUUUUAUGUCAGAGAAGAUAUGAACUAUUAAUAGGUGUGAAUGGACAUCCAGCAGAAUACAAAAUGAAUGAUUUUUAUUUUGACGAAACUUCAGUGUGUUGUGAUAAAGUUGUCUACACACAAAGAAUCAUUAGCAGCACAUUCAAGCUUGCAAAACCUUUACUAAAACAUGUACCUGACCUGUACCUACUGUACAGAUCAGCAGCUUUUCCAGCUGCUGAUCUGUACAGUAGGUGCAGGGAAAGAUGGAAACCUGGACCAGUGGUUCUGGACCAGCCCCCCCGACGUAAAGCAGGAA
Long non-coding RNA from Betta splendens (Siamese fighting fish), 7380 nucleotides. RefSeq lists it as uncharacterized. NCBI's taxonomy places the organism in Eukaryota, Metazoa, Chordata, Actinopteri, Anabantiformes, Osphronemidae. The transcript has 5 exons. The record is from RefSeq and is a predicted model, not a curated record.